GACGAACGCUGGCGGCGUGCCUAACACAUGCAAGUCGAACGAAGCAUUUGGAGCUGAUCUCUUCGGAGUGACGCGCCUUAUGACUUAGUGGCGGACGGGUGAGUAACACGUGAGCAACCUGCCUCUCAGAGUGGAAUAACAGUUGGAAACGGCUGCUAAUACCGCAUAACGUCAUUUUGCCGCAUGACAGAGUGACCAAAGAUUUAUCGCUGAGAGAUGGGCUCGCGUCCGAUUAGGUAGAUGGUGGGGUAACGGCCUACCAUGCCGACGAUCGGUAGCCGGACUGAGAGGUUGAUCGGCCACAUUGGGACUGAGACACGGCCCAGACUCCUACGGGAGGCAGCAGUGGGGAUAUUGCACAAUGGGCGCAAGCCUGAUGCAGCAACGCCGCGUGCGGGAAGACGGCCUCGGUGUAACGCUGUCUGGUAGAACGAAAUAGAGUACCACGAGAAGACACGCGAACUACGU
RNAcentral lists this ribosomal RNA (468 nucleotides) under uncultured bacterium. RNAcentral's name for it is "bacterial SSU rRNA". It matches the Rfam family "Bacterial small subunit ribosomal RNA", at positions 28 to 506 of the family's 1533-position model. The record is from RNAcentral.